UCGUUGUGCGACCGUCUGAUGUCUUCUGCUGCCUUAGUUCGGUCAGAGAUUUCUUUAAAUAUGCUGCCAUUGGACGCUUGCCCUAUGCUCCCAUCUCGUGCAUCGUGCCCUGACACAUAAGCCAUAUCGAGGUUUUUCAGACCAACAAGCAACCGACUGUCUGCGGAGAUUGCGAUUGCCAAAUGGCUGUCAACAGUUCCGCAUUGAAAGCUCCAUGCGAUUCGAUUGUCGCUCCAAUUGCUCUGCUCUAGAUCUCUGCCGCAUUGUAAGUACCAAAGCCGAGGCCCAGCUCCUUUAAGACGUGGGCGUUAAAAUCUGGAUAAAUUAUGUAGCUACUAAUUAAAUUGUUCUAUGAUGUUUGUCAAAUGUUUUCACACUACACUGAAAACAAUUGCAUUACGGUUGAGUAAAUUUCCAUAAUUUAAUGUA
Drosophila virilis is the source of this 429-nucleotide non-coding RNA. The record is from RefSeq and is a predicted model, not a curated record. NCBI's taxonomy places the organism in Eukaryota, Metazoa, Arthropoda, Insecta, Diptera, Drosophilidae.